Long non-coding RNA from Micropterus dolomieu (smallmouth bass), 675 nucleotides. RefSeq lists it as uncharacterized. The transcript has 2 exons. The record is from RefSeq and is a predicted model, not a curated record. NCBI's taxonomy places the organism in Eukaryota, Metazoa, Chordata, Actinopteri, Centrarchiformes, Centrarchidae.
CCUCUCUCUUCCAGACCUUUCCAUCUUCCACGUCUACAUGCAGCGCAGCUAACAGGCCAACUGUUCGAUGGGUCCACUGUGGGAGAGACCACAAGAUGGUGCCCAAUGGCAGGAAGAUAGAAGUUGACGUCACCCAUUGCUGUAGCUCAUCAAACCCAACUGAGUGAAUUAGUUUGUAUCAAUUAGGCUACUGUAAUAGACUUUAACUACUCGUCAUUGCUGCGAGGUUACAGUUAACCCCAACAUGUUUCAGCAAGGAAAGUGAGGACAUUUAAAGCAGCUUGAUUACAAGUUGGAUCACUUAACUAAAUCAUACACCGCAGCAGUUUACCUUCACACAUUUUACUUUAUGUUUUUGUUUUUUUGCUGUUAGUUACACUGAGCUACUAAAAAAGAUUAAAUGCCUUGAAUUAUGCAAACUGUAUAGUGUGUUUGAACUUUGUAUAAUUGUUUUCUUGACAGAGAUUUCUCUGGACCUUUAGUGUAAGUUUACAGUAAAAACAUUUUUAAAUACUUGACCAGUCUUUGACUAAACUGUGACUAGUGUUUUGAGUUCCCAGUUAAGAAAAGUCUUGUUUUAGCAGAAUGUUGCCUCAUUUGUGUUAGUCACUCGUUCAGAGUGUCUGAACUUGAUGUACACUGUAGAUAUUAAUAAAGCCAGUUUUAUCACUUUGA